AACGCUAGCUACAGGCUUAACACAUGCAAGUCGAGGGGAAACGACAUCGAAAGCUUGCUUUUGGUGGGCGUCGACCGGCGCACGGGUGAGUAACGCGUAUCCAACCUGCCCACCACUUGGGGAUAACCUUGCGAAAGUAAGACUAAUACCCAAUGAUAUCCCACGAAGGCAUCCGAAUGGGAUUAAAGAUUUAUCGGUGAUGGAUGGGGAUGCGUCUGAUUAGCUUGUUGGCGGGGUAACGGCCCACCAAGGCAACGAUCAGUAGGGGUUCUGAGAGGAAGGUCCCCCACAUUGGAACUGAGACACGGUCCAAACUCCUACGGGAGGCAGCAGUGAGGAAUAUUGGUCAAUGGGCGAGAGCCUGAACCAGCCAAGUAGCGUGCAGGACGACGGCCCUAUGGGUUGUAAACUGCUUUUAUAAGGGAAUAAAGUGAGUCUCGUGAGACUUUUUGCAUGUACCUUAUGAAUAAGGACCGGCUAAUUCCGUGCCAGCAGCCGCGGUAAUACGGAAGGUCCGGGCGUUAUCCGGAUUUAUUGGGUUUAAAGGGAGCGUAGGCCGGAGAUUAAGCGUGUUGUGAAAUGUAGUGGCUCAACCUCUGCACUGCAGCGCGAACUGGUCUUCUUGAGUACGCACAACGUGGGCGGAAUUCGUGGUGUAGCAGUGAAAUGCUUAGAUAUCACGAAGAACUCCGAUUG
RNAcentral lists this ribosomal RNA (696 nucleotides) under uncultured bacterium. RNAcentral describes it as "bacterial SSU rRNA". It matches the Rfam family "Bacterial small subunit ribosomal RNA", at positions 32 to 715 of the family's 1533-position model. The record is from RNAcentral.